AAUACACGGAUGCACUAUUGAUGUACUUCGGCCAACACCCAUAAUUUGAUGGUCUGUUGAGUUUCUACAGGAAUACACUCUCAGUGAAUUCAUGUUCUGUCUGUAUUUCCUUUGGUGAACCCAUUCUUUGAUUUGCACCCCUGAUGAAGUCCUAAGGGACGAAACGCGUUGGGUUUCAACGAUUGUGCGUUUCCGUAAAAACAGUGAACAGAUCAUACAUACUUUCUCAUGCUGA
Pseudophryne corroboree (corroboree frog) is the source of this 235-nucleotide long non-coding RNA. RefSeq lists it as uncharacterized. Lineage: Eukaryota; Metazoa; Chordata; Amphibia; Anura; Myobatrachidae. The transcript is spliced from 3 exons. The record is from RefSeq and is a predicted model, not a curated record.